AACGAACGCUGGCGGCAUGCCUAACACAUGCAAGUCGAACGAGACCAUCGGGUCUAGUUGCGCACGGGUGCGUCACGCGUCGGAACGUGCCCGUAGGCUCGGAAUAACUCCCCGACAGGGGUGCUAAUACCGGAUAACGUCUUCGGACCAAACAUUUAUCGCCCUUGGAUGGGCCCGCGUUGGUUUAGCCAGUUGGUAGGGUAAAAGCCUAUCAAGGCGACGCUCCAUAGCUGGUCUGAGAGGAUGAGCCGCCACACUGGGAGUGGGACACGGCCCAGAAUCUUACGGGAGGCAGGAGAGGGUAAUAUUGGACAAUGGGCGAAAGGCUGAUCCAGCAAUGCCGCGUGAGUGAUGAAGGCCUUAGGGUUGUAAAGCUCUUUUAUCCGGGAUGAUAAUGACAGUACCGGGAGAAUAAGCUCCGGCUAACUCCGUG
Molecule: ribosomal RNA, 433 nt
Filed under: uncultured bacterium
Lineage: Bacteria
Description: partial 16S ribosomal RNA
Rfam family: Bacterial small subunit ribosomal RNA
Source: RNAcentral